AAGUCUCCUGAAGGAACGUAAGUCUCCUGAAGGAACGUUGAAGACGACGACGUUGAUAGGUCGGGUGUGUAAGCGCAGCGAUGCGUUGAGCUAACCGAUACUAAUGAACCGUGAGGCUUAACCUU
This 125-nucleotide ribosomal RNA is filed under the name Enterobacter hormaechei. Its description in RNAcentral is "partial 23S ribosomal RNA". It matches the Rfam family "Bacterial large subunit ribosomal RNA", at positions 2790 to 2925 of the family's 2925-position model. The record is from RNAcentral. Lineage: Bacteria; Pseudomonadati; Pseudomonadota; Gammaproteobacteria; Enterobacterales; Enterobacteriaceae.